This 85-nucleotide small nucleolar RNA is filed under the name Akanthomyces lecanii RCEF 1005. The record is from RNAcentral. Lineage: Eukaryota; Fungi; Ascomycota; Sordariomycetes; Hypocreales; Cordycipitaceae.
UGUCCGUGAUGAGAAACCAUUUCAAUCAGUUCUGCUGCUGAACCCCUUGAUGACUCCUAAUUUACCAAACCAAGAUCUCUGAUAA